GUGGCCACAGGGAAAAUUUUCAGGAGCUACUGAAUGAAGGAAGAUGCACAGAGUUAAUGGAAUUUUGAACAAUGGAGAAGAGAUGAACUUACCUACUAAAAGGGGAAUUUAAAAUGACCCAUGCUUGCAAGGCUGGAGGAAGAAGUUGGCCAUCAGGGUUAUCUAUUGUCCCUGUUUGCAGAUGACAUCAUUGCAUAUCUAGAAAACCCCAUCGUCUCAGCCCAAAAUCUCCUUAAGCUGAUAAGCAACUUCAGCAAAGUCUCAGGAUACAGAAUCAAUGUGCAAAAAUCACAAGCAUUCUUAUACGCCAAAAACAGACAAAAAGAGAGCCAAAUCAUGAGUGAACUCCCAUUCGCAUUGCUUCAAAGAGAAUAAAAUACCUAGGAAUCCAACUUACAAGGGAUGUGAAGGACCUCUUCAAGGAGAACUACAAACCACUGCUCAACGAAAUAAAAGAGGAUACAAACAAAUGGAAGAACAUUCCAUGCUCAUGGAUAGGAAGAAUCAAUGUGAAAAUGGCCAUACUGUCCAAGGUAAUUUAUAGAUUCAAUGCCGUCCCCAUCAAGCUACCAAUGACUUUCUUCACAGAACUGGAAAAAAACUACUUUAAAGUUCAUAUGGAACCAAAAAAGAGCCUGCAUUGCCAAGUCAAUCCUAAGCCAAAAGAACAAAGCUGGGCAUCACGCUACCUGACUUCAAACUAUACAGCAGGUCUACAGUAACCAAAACAGCAUGGUACUUGUACCAAAACAGAGAUAUAGACCAAUGAAACAGAACAGAGCCCUCAGAAAUAAAACCACACAUCUACAAAUACCUGAUCUUUGACAAACCUGAGAAAAACAAGCAAUGGGGAAAGGAUUCCCUAUUUAACAAAUGGUGCUGGGAAAACUUGCUAGCCAUAUGUAGAAAGCUGAAACUGGAUCCCUUCCUUACACCUUAUACAAAAUUAAUUCAAGAUGGAUUAAAGACUUAAAUGUUAGACCUAAAACCAUAAAAACCCUAAAAGAAAACCUAGGCAAUACCAUUCAGGACAUAGGCAUGGGCAAGGACUUCAUGUCUAAAACACCAAAAGCAAUGGCAACAAAAGCCAAAAUUGACAAAUGGGAUCUAAUUAAACUAAAGAGUUUCUGCACAGCAAAAAAAAACUACCAUCAGAGCUAUAAAUUUUCCUCUACGCACUGCUUUGAAUGUGUCCCAGAGAUUCUGGUAUGUUGUGUCUUUGUUCUUGUUGGUUUCAAAGAACAUCUUUAUUUCUGCCUUCAUUUUGUUAUGUACCCAGUAGUCAUUCAGGAGCAGGUUGUUCAGUUUCCAUGUAGUUGAGCGGUUUUGAGUGAGUUUCUUAAUCCUGAGUUCUAGUUUGAUUGCACUGUGGUCUGAGAGACAGUUUGCUAUAAUUUCUGUUCUUUUACAUUUGCUGAGGAGUGCUUUACUUCCAACUAUGUGGUCAAUUUUGGAAUAAGUGCAGUGUGGUGCUGAGAAGAAAGUAUAUUCUGUUGACUUGGGGUGGAGAGUUCUGUACAUGUCUAUUAGGUCUGCUUGGUGCAGCACACCAACAUGGCACAUGUAUACAUAUGUAACUAACCUGCACGUUGUGCACAUGUACCCUAAAACUUAAAGUAUAAUAAUAAUAAAAAAGAAACUACCAUCAGAGUGAACAGGCAACUUACAGAAUGGGAGAAAAUUUUUGCAAUCUACUUAUCUGACAAAGGGCUAAUAUCCAGAAUCUACAAAGAACUCUAACAAAUUUACAAGAAAAAAACAAACAACCCCAUCAACAAAUGGGAGAAGGAUAUGAACAGACACUUCUCAAAAGAAGGCAGCCAACAGACACAUGUAAAAAUGCUCAUCAUCACUGGCCAUCAGAGAAAUGCAAAUCAAAACCACAAUGAGAUACCAUCUCACACCAGUUAGAAUGGUGAUCAUUAAAAAGUCAGGAAACAACAGGUGCUGGAGAGGAUGUGGAGAAAUAGGAACACUUUUACACUGUUGGUGGGACAAAAACUGGUUCAACCAUUGUGGAAGACAGUGUGGUGAUUCCUCAGGGAUCUAGAACUAGAAAUACCAUUUGACCCAGCCAUCCCAUUACUGGGUAUAUACCCAGAGGAUUAUAAAUUAUGCUACUAUAAAGACACAUGCACAUGUAUGUUUAUUGUGGCACUAUUCACAAUAGCAAAGACCUGGAACCAACCCAGAUGUCCAACAAUGAUAGACUGGAUUAAGAAAAUGUGGCACCUAUACCCCAUGGAAUACUAUGCAACCAUAAAAAAUGAUGAGUUCAUGUCCUUUGUAGGGACAUGGAUGAAGCUGGAAACCAUCAUUCUCAGCAAACCAUCGCAAGAACAAAAAACCAAACACCGCAUGUUCUUACUCAUAGCUGGGAAUUGAACAAUGAGAACACUUGGACAUGGGAAGGGGGACAUCACACACCAGGGCCUGUUGUGGGGUUGGGGGAGGGGGAAGGGAUAGCAUUAGCAGGUAUACCUAAUGUAAAUGACGAGUUACUGGGUGCAGCACACCAGCAUGGCACAUGUAUACAUAUGUAACUAACCUGCACGUUGUGCACAUGUACCCUAGAACUUUAAGUAUAAUAAUAAAAAAUGCUCUUUCAAAAGAAAUAAAAACAAAUCACAAGUAGUCAGAAACUGGGCUUCCCUUUAGAUGAGGUAGCAGGUCUUAGCUACAAGACUAGAAAUGCCAUGGUAUUACAGCCUAAAAUAUCAAAGAAAGUGUUUUCUCAAUUAGACUUAAUUAAUAGGGUAUUACCAUUUCUCAGUAUUUUGUCUAUUCUUAAUAACUGGCAAAACAUCCGGUCUCUCACUAGUAGAUUUGGGCAACAAAAUGCGGCCUUUUAUACACAUUAGCAAGCUACAGUUAUACUCAGGGACCUGUAAUAUAAAUAAGAUGUAUAUCUUAAAGCUAUUCACUGCAAGGAGGAUGAUAGUACUAAAAUAUGUCAGGAUUCAUUUUACCCAUUGGUAAAAUGAAAAUAAAGUUGUAUUUAUCUCAAAGGGUAAUUAAGGGAUCAAAUUAGGUAAUAGAGGUAAAAUGUUUAACAUGCCAUGUGCAAAGCAAGCUUUCAAUAGAUUUUAGUUAUUAAUACGUGUUAUUUCUCUUUAGCUACUAGUAGUUGAAUGAAGAAAAUUCAACUAUAUUUAUGGAAUAGUCAUUUAUGCGAUACUCGUUAUUCUGAAGAACACCUUCUGUAAUGACCCAAAACCAGUUCAGAAAACCACAACAUUUCUGAAUUCAAUCUGGAGGUUCUCUUCUUGGAGUGUGUCACCUCUGAAACUCAUGUUGAAAUUUGAUUCUCAAUAUGGCCGUAUUGAGUAGGUGUUUGCAUCAUGGGGAC
Gorilla gorilla gorilla (western lowland gorilla) is the source of this 3349-nucleotide long non-coding RNA. RefSeq lists it as uncharacterized. The record is from RefSeq and is a predicted model, not a curated record. Lineage: Eukaryota; Metazoa; Chordata; Mammalia; Primates; Hominidae. The transcript is spliced from 3 exons.